CUCUUCAGAUCUGUCCACGUGUCCGAUGACAACGAUAUUAAUGUGAGUCUUUUCCUUUCCCAUGUUGGCUUCGAUUUAGUGGUGGCUUUCACUACGCCUGUGCUCUCGUGGCAAACCCGUUGCG
Long non-coding RNA from Octodon degus (degu), 124 nucleotides. RefSeq lists it as uncharacterized. Lineage: Eukaryota; Metazoa; Chordata; Mammalia; Rodentia; Octodontidae. The transcript is spliced from 3 exons. The record is from RefSeq and is a predicted model, not a curated record.